GUACAUCUGAGGCCUGACUAGAACAGCAGCAGUGUUCCGUGGAAAUAUCCUGUCAGGUUCAGAGGUCAACACACAUCACGUCUUCAGCAGAAAUAACAGAGAGGUCAACACACAUCACGUCUUCAGUAGAAAUAACAGAGAGGUCAACACACAUCACGUCUUCAGCAGAAAUAACAGAGAGGUCAACACACAUCACGUCUUCAGUAGAAAUAACAGAGAGGUCAACACACAUCACGUCUUCAGUAGAAAUAACAGAGAGGUCAACACACAUCACGUCUUCAGCAGAAAUAACAGAGAGGUCAACACACAUCACGUCUUCAGUAGAAAUAACAGAGAGGUCAACACACAUCACGUCUUCAGUAGAAAUAACAGAGAGGUCAACACACAUCACGUCUUCAGUAGAAAUAACAGA
Oncorhynchus keta (chum salmon) is the source of this 412-nucleotide long non-coding RNA. RefSeq lists it as uncharacterized. The record is from RefSeq and is a predicted model, not a curated record. The transcript has 3 exons. NCBI's taxonomy places the organism in Eukaryota, Metazoa, Chordata, Actinopteri, Salmoniformes, Salmonidae.